GCUUUCAAUGAGUACAUAAGCUCUCCCUCCACAGUGGUGCAUCACAACUUCAGCAGUUCUUCCAUAGAGUUUGUGGUUGCCAGUAUAGUGCCCGAGCCAGCUCAGGGAGGGUUGGAGUCUGGCUUGAGGAUUCUUCUGAAGCAGCUGACUGGCUGGCUUUUAUUGCAAGACAGAGAACACAAGAUCUCUUCAUUGACCCAGCAAGGUGGCUGUAGUAUUUUGCCUUGAAAGACUGGAAGUUCCCUCCAUGAGAACCUGGGAGGACAAGGAUGGCCUCCUGUGCUGUUCUGCAGAGAGGAGCAGCCUUCGAUGGUGAGCAAAGAAGCAGUACCGCAGUCCCCUCUCGGGAGCAGCACCUGGCUCUAGAAUGCUGCCAUGAAUGUCUUCAACUCUCUGCAUUGAGGAGCCCCGGAAGGGGCAGAGAGAAGAACUAGCACAGGCCCAGCCCUGGCAGCAGCACGAUCAUCUAGAAUGCCAGAAACCAGCUCUGCUCCUCCCUGCCACUGUUAAUAUGUAUUUUAACUGGAAGUGUUUAGAUCUCUCUCUUGUGGCACACAUACCAUGGACGUAACCUUGGUCUCUUUUGCAGGAGCAGGCUUUGAAGGGGUUGAAAGAAGCAAGACCACGGUGCCUCCCUCAGCAGCUCUCUCUCUCUCUCUCUCUCUCUCUCUCUCUCUCUCUCUCUCUGGCAGUCGGCUCCUGGUGUUCUGCAGGGCAGCCUUGGAAGUGAUGGGAAGAAUUCGUGUGGUCCAUGAUGAAGGAAAACCAGGUUCUGGCUGGUCCAGGCCUGUGCACGUCGAUAGUUGGCAAUAAAUGUAAGUGCUGUUAUGAAUGUAAUAACCAUUUUUGGGUUAUGCCUUUUGCACACAUUUAGUAUGCUGCUGUAUCGAGUGAGAUGGUGAACUAGUUCUCUGAAUGGCCACUGAUGCCAAACACAAAUUAUCACUUGUGUUUCUGGGUUGAGGGACACUUCACACCAUCACAGCCCGAUCUGCCAGCUGAUAGGCUAAGUGUCUGGUUGUUUCCGGCUGGUGAACCGCAUGGAGCCUCGGCCUACUUGUCAGUCUUGGGGAACACCACAGAGUGACGAUAGGUGGAAAUCAAAGUGUCCAGGGACAGACUCUCCAGUUGGAUUUGUGUGCCAAUGCUAUGGCACUUGAUCUACCCAGUACAUGCAGAAGUGGAGCCAUAUGGUUUAGUUUCCUAGCACUGGAAGCUUUGAUCCUAAGAUGCUGUUGCACCUCAGGAGCUAUCUGCACCUGAAUCUCCCAAGACAAAUGGAUGUCUGGUACCUGUCGGAUGAGGAGGCGGGCAGCGGUGAAGGGGGUGAUCAGGAUGGCAACCGCACUUGCUACGCCACAGCUCUUGGUGACUCUGCUUCUCUCUGCACAGGCCCUGCCCUCUUUGCCCACGCUGGUGCACUCUUUUCCUUCUGUCAUGGGGCUGCAGCUGGCCAGGGAAUUGGUACCAAAGGUUUGCCUCUCCCUGUGAUUUGUUGGAUGGGUGGCACGUUGUCCUCACCACCACCACCACAAACCAAUAAAUCCUAACCUGCAACUUCAGCCUGUUCAGUCUAGGCAGCUUGUUCAGCCAGCCCCUUGGACUCCCUCAGCCAGGAGUGAAGCAUAAGGCCACCCUGCUGCCAUCUGCCUUGACCCUCAUGCUGGGUCUCCCCCUCUUUGACUUUGAAGACUCCCUCUGAAGAAUAUGGCUACAAGCUCAUCUUUUUCCUCAAAGAAAAAUCUGUGUCUUCCAAAGCGAGACACUCUUUCUUAGUGAAAAAACUGCUCCGGCCCCUCUCUUUGGAUCCGGGAGCCCAGCUCUGUAACUGGAUACCAGCGCAUACCAAGAAAAAACUCAGCCAGUCAGAACAACUGGGGUAGUGGUGAGCACCAGCUCGCAGCUUACAGCAGGGGGCACAUCCAUGCAGCUUGGGAGGAGCUUCAGUCGGACAAAGAAGCAGGCCAAGAACGGAGUGAGGCGGCGAAGGCUAAGUUCUGUCCCCAGGCUAACCAGCCAUGAGCUCAAACGGUUGCCAUUAUUGUGACCAGCCAGUUCACAGGGGAAACAAAGGAGAGGAAAAGGAGUGCCCAUGAUGUCCAUCAGCCAUGGGGCCUCGGCGCAGUGGCCAGCUGUGAUGAAAACUCCUAGGGCCCCAAAUGUUAACUCAGCUGAGCACUUUUGGAACUGGCUUCUUGUUGGUUGUCUGUGUCUUGUUCUGUAAAGGGAAAUGUUGUUGAUCCUCCAGUAAAUAUUGGCACAGUAUGUUUGACUGAAUGUUACUGACAAUGCAGUGAGAAAGGUCCAUAGUACCUCACAGUCUCACAACCCGCCUCUGCGUAGGUUGGGCUCUUGUAUGUGAAAAUGUGUUUGUAAUGUGACAGCACUUCUGUAAACCUUUUGGGAAAGGACUUGCUCUGCAAAUUGAACACCAUUAUUCACAAUUAUCUGUGGACAUCCUAUACCAUAAAAGCCUUAAGCGUGCAGCCGUGCUGCCCGUGUCUUUUUGGGCCAUUCUGGGCAUGCGCGGAGGGCCUCCUUCUUUGUGGGCCUCUCCUGAAGAAAAAGGGAGCGCUGCUUAUGGCUGGACCAGAUACAUUACCCCUAAGAAGGGCAAGCUCUACUUUUCCCCCUCAUGGUAUCAAAUUUAUUGUGGUGUUUCUGCAGCUGUCUUUGCUACUGCUAAUAUGAUUUUCCACUACAGUAUGGACGAUGUUUCUGAUAUUGCAUUUCUGUUUUGGUGCUACAUCCAGGAGGCCCACAGGUGGCAUCAGGCUGAGAGAACAGUGUGAACAACACAAUGCUCCACCCCUUGGGUUUCUAGUUGGGAGCUGUAAAGCCACAUGUCUUUGUCUAAGCCUCUAUAUGCUUUGCUUUCUGAGUCUGAGCAGAAAGAAGACGUGAUGGAAUCCCAGUCUUGGGAGCAGCAGGAUCAGCUAGACUGCUGGAAAGCUCCUCCCUGCUGGUGGUGAUGGUAAGGAUUUCUACAGGUAGUGUUUGGUCUUCACUGUUGUGACAUGAGCAUUGUAGACAUCUGUUUUGCAGGAGCAGGCUCUGAAGGUGUGGAAAGAAGCAGUACAAGGGUCUCAAUCAGUAGGGGCAUCUUCUCUGUGCCCGAUGUUGCAGAGGAGCAGCUGCAGAAGUGGCAGAAACGAUCGGUGCAGCCUCAGCCUCAGGUGCAACACGAUUCUCGGACACAAGAAACCUCUGUGACUGGUGGCAGACAUGCUUGACGUUUGGAUCUUGUCACGAACCCAGCUCUGACCGAGAUGACUCACAGGCCAGCGUGGACGCCCUCAAAAACCCCUUGCCUGUGUUGUAGCUGGCUCUGUAUUGAGGCUUCUCUUCGCCUGCACUGUUGGCAGAAGCACCUUGCAGGAUGUCUUUCUUCCCAUUCCUGUCCCCUGCUCUAGGAUGUCUCCGCUCCUGACACUUGAACUCUGACUUUGCCUGCUUCGAAUGGACUGACACUUUCCUUCAGCCUCGCACCCCUCUUGCCCAGCCGGGACAGCCAGAAGACGGACACUGCUCAGCCUUGGCUCUGCUGCCUUGGUCAGCAUUGUGGUCUUCCUUUCCUGAGUACCUGAUAAUCUGCCUCUCCGGCCACUAACUACAUCAGUGUUGUCUUGGAGUCUCCUGUGAGAGGAGAGACGCUGUGCCCCUGGGGCUUAUAAAGAGGGAGGGUGUGCCCCCAAGAGGCACACUGGAUCUAGUCUUCCACCAAGUGAGAGUACCUGUGACUCUAUCCAUCACCUGCCCUGCCUAGCAUCCCCCCCCCCCGGUCUGAGGAAGCACCAGCUGCCACUGAGGGAUGGGCCUUGUCUGGGGCUACGCUGAGACUCUGGAAUCCAUUCCCUGCAGAAAUCAGAGCCUCCCCAUCUCAGACUACUUAAGACAUUGGACACAUUUCUUCACCCAAGCUUUUAAAGUAGAUGUGGCUUUAACUUCCUGGUCUUUGACUGUAAUAAAGAUGUGUAUCUGAA
Hemicordylus capensis (graceful crag lizard) is the source of this 3983-nucleotide long non-coding RNA. RefSeq lists it as uncharacterized. The record is from RefSeq and is a predicted model, not a curated record. The transcript has 6 exons. NCBI's taxonomy places the organism in Eukaryota, Metazoa, Chordata, Lepidosauria, Squamata, Cordylidae.